This 816-nucleotide ribosomal RNA is filed under the name uncultured bacterium. RNAcentral's name for it is "bacterial SSU rRNA". It matches the Rfam family "Bacterial small subunit ribosomal RNA", at positions 603 to 1411 of the family's 1533-position model. The record is from RNAcentral.
UNUGGCUUAACUGGGGGCUUGCGGUGGNUACGGGCCGGCUUGAGCGCGGUAGGGGAGGCUGGAACUCCUGGUGUAGCGGUGGAAUGCGCAGAUAUCAGGAAGAACACCGGUGGCGAAGGCGGGUCUCUGGGCCGUUACUGACGCUGAGGAGCGAAAGCGUGGGGAGCGAACAGGAUUAGAUACCCUGGUAGUCCACGCCGUAAACGUUGGGCACUAGGUGUGGGGGGCCUUUUCCGGGUUUUCCGCGCCGUAGCUAACGCAUUAAGUGCCCCGCCUGGGGAGUACGGCCGCAAGGCUAAAACUCAAAGGAAUUGACGGGGGCCCGCACAAGCGGCGGAGCAUGCGGAUUAAUUCGAUGCAACGCGAAGAACCUUACCAAGGCUUGACAUGUGCCGGUCGGCUCCGGAGACGGGGUUUCCUCCUUGUGGGGCCGGUUCACAGGUGGUGCAUGGUUGUCGUCAGCUCGUGUCGUGAGAUGUUGGGUUAAGUCCCGCAACGAGCGCAACCCUUGUCUCGUGUUGCCAGCACGUUGUGGUGGGGACUCGCGGGAGACUGCCGGGGUCAACUCGGAGGAAGGUGGGGAUGACGUCAAAUCAUCAUGCCCCUUAUGUCUUGGGCUUCACGCAUGCUACAAUGGCCGGUACAGAGGGCUGCGAUACCGUGAGGUGGAGCGAAUCCCUUAAAGCCGGUCUCAGUUCGGAUCGGUGUCUGCAACUCGACACCGUGAAGUUGGAGUCGCUAGUAAUCGCAGAUCAGCAACGCUGCGGUGAAUACGUUCUCGGGCCUUGUACACACCGCCCGUCACGUCAUGAAAGU